UACGUAGGGGGCAAGCGUUGUCCGGAUUUAUUGGGCGUAAAGCGCUCGCAGGCGGUCCGAUGCGUCGUGCGUGAAAGCCCCCGGCUCAACUGGGGAGGGUCGUGCGAUACGGUCGGACUUGAGGCCAGUAGGGGGAUGCGGAAUUCCGGGUGUAGUGGUGGAAUGCGUAGAGAUGCGGAGGAACACCGAUGGCGAAGGCAGCCCCCUGGGCUGACACUGAGGCACGAAAGCUAGGGGAGCAAACAGG
RNAcentral lists this ribosomal RNA (247 nucleotides) under uncultured bacterium. RNAcentral describes it as "partial 16S ribosomal RNA". It matches the Rfam family "Bacterial small subunit ribosomal RNA", at positions 524 to 776 of the family's 1533-position model. The record is from RNAcentral.